GCCGGGCGUGGUGGCGCACACCUGUAAUCCCAGCUACUCGGGAGGCUGAGGCAGGAGAAUUGCUUGAAUCCAGGAGGCAGAGGUUGUAGUGUGCUGGGAUCAUACCAUUGCACUCCAGCCUGGGUGACAGAGCUAGACUCUGCCUCGA
Pongo abelii (Sumatran orangutan) is the source of this 148-nucleotide unclassified non-coding RNA. It matches the Rfam family "Metazoan signal recognition particle RNA". Rfam says of the family: The signal recognition particle (SRP) is a universally conserved ribonucleoprotein. It is involved in the co-translational targeting of proteins to membranes. NCBI's taxonomy places the organism in Eukaryota, Metazoa, Chordata, Mammalia, Primates, Hominidae. The record is from Ensembl.